This is a non-coding RNA of Phoenix dactylifera (date palm), 2171 nucleotides long. The record is from RefSeq and is a predicted model, not a curated record. NCBI's taxonomy places the organism in Eukaryota, Viridiplantae, Streptophyta, Magnoliopsida, Arecales, Arecaceae.
GGGGGGGGGGGGGGGCAAGGAGAGGUGGAGGGACUUCGGCAACUCGGGACGCCGUUUCCUUCGGUUUCGUCGCCACCGUCAUUCUCAUCUCCAUGUUCCUCGUCAUGGUCAUCUUCGAGCGCUUCCCCCGCCCCAGGGUCCCCCUAGCCCCUCCUCUCCUCCGAAGAUGGCCGGAUGCGGAGGGCCUCUUCCUCCGCGGAUCUCAAGGCGCAGCGCCGCCGGGGCAUCUCCGGCCAGGCCAGCUCGAUUACCCUUCGCCCAAGGUAGCUUUACCGAAAAUUCACCAUUAUUUUUUUUAUUUUUUUAUUUUCGUGAAUGUUAGCACCAGUAGCAUAGGUUCCAUAGGAAGUGUUUGUAAGGCCACGCAACCACGCCCAGAAGCAGGGAAUAUAAUAGGGGGAUGUUAGAAAAAAACAAGGCCAUUUAGAAAGGGACAGCUUAUAGUGGGGCGUUGGAUUAAAGAAGUUGUUUCAUAUUGCAACUUCAUCUUUGAACACUGCAAGCAGCAUCUGACAUGUUAGAACCAAAGAUGAAGGGUUGUCUCUUUAAUCAACCUAUUUGUGACUUUAACUGUAAAAAAAGGCUGCAUAUUGGUACCUUUUUCAUACUUUUCUAAGUUUUUCAUCUUGACCAUUAGAUCUGCUGGCAUGGGGUAUGCAAGUGGAGCAUACACAUGGCUAACUAACUGACAUGAUCCACAUAACAACAAUGGGGAAUGUUAAGUGGACUUGAAAUUCUAUGUAGGCAAGCCUAUGGAGCACAACAAUACCAGAAGCUAAAAAUAUAUACCUACAGAACCAUUCUCUCUCAUACUGUGGUCUAUCUUCAGAAAAAUCAAAACACAAGAUAAGAAGCUCAAACGAUCACUAUUCAAGACUGAAAACAAUGUCGGCAAAGUAUCAUGUACUCCAUAAAUUCGUUAGAAAAAUGAAAGAUUCUGAGAUUGGUGAAAGUAUCAUCUAUGAUAACUUUUACCUUAUGAUUACUAUAGAUGGAAGUGUCAACUGUAAAAACUCAUUGAUCUCUCUAAAAUAUUUCAUUGAGAUUGGUGAGCGAGUAGCUUUGCAAGAUUCUGGGUAUUUAAUCAUAGCUAGUACACAAGUAUGGAGAUGUUCAACCAAUGUGAUAUGCUUAUGGAGUUCAACCAACUUUACAUAGGCAUAUCACAUUAGUCGAACAUCUUCAUGCUUAUGUCCUAGCUAUUAUCAAAUACUCAGGAUCUUGCAAAGCUACUCGCUCACCAAACUCAAUGGAAUGCUUUAGAGGGAUCAAUGAGUCUUACAGCUGGCACUUCCAUCUGCAAUAAUAUAUGGUAAAAAUCAUCGUAAAUUUUAGAAUUUUCUUUUCAUUUUCUUAUGAAUUUAUUAAAUAAAGAAUAUUUUGCCAACAUUGAUUUUAGCCUUGAAUGGUGGUGGUUUGAGCUUCUUAUCUUGUUUUUGGUGUCUUCUUACAAGCAGACCACAACAAGAGAUAGAAUAGCUCUGUAAAUGUGAACUCCUAGCUUUGUUGUGCUCCAUAAGCUUGCCCACAUAGAGUUUCCCGUCCACUUGCCAUUCCAAGCUAUUGUUAUGUGUAUCAUGUCAAUUAGUCAGCCAAUUAUAGUAAUGAAGCACGAGAAGGAACACAAGGAAGGAAUUGGACUUACGAGGAGGGUGAAGCCAGUGAUGCUGGUAAGCGACGAAGCCAUGGCGAAGCUGGAGAGGGUGAUCUUGCCAAGGUGGCUGAUCAUCUAGAUCACCUGGACCAUGCCCUACGAUAGCAUCAUCACCACCAUGGGUGUUGCCAAGUAACCAAUCCACGGCCAGUAUCUCAUUGCUCUAUGACAUUCCAUAUGGACUUGGUGUUGCUGCCAGGUGUCAAAUGAAUUAGGAGCGGGGAAACCAUAAAGAUCUCAGUUAGCAGUACGUUUUGUGAUGUUUCUUGCAGUUAUGGAGCCAUUCUGGCCUUUUUUGCCAUGUGUGGCAUCUUGGGGUAUGCCAAUAGUAAUGAGGAGGUCAUUAGUUAUGUCAGGGAAAUGGUUCCUCUGGUUUAUGUCUCAGUUAUAAUGGAUAGCCUACAAGGUGUCCUCUCAAUUAAUAUAUUCCUUUCAUCUUUAUGUCUUUUGACUAGAGUAACAGCAACACCAAUAUUCAAUCUAAGAUAUUAUCUUCUGUGGUUGAAAAUUUUUGAAA